GGGUCUCUGUGUAGGCCUGGCUGGACUG
Molecule: non-coding RNA, 28 nt
Filed under: Cricetulus griseus (Chinese hamster)
Lineage: Eukaryota; Metazoa; Chordata; Mammalia; Rodentia; Cricetidae
Source: RNAcentral